Molecule: long non-coding RNA, 380 nt
Filed under: Musa acuminata (dwarf banana)
Lineage: Eukaryota; Viridiplantae; Streptophyta; Magnoliopsida; Zingiberales; Musaceae
Description: long non-coding RNA (MACU_LNC004959)
Source: RNAcentral
CCCCGUCUUCUCCCGGAUCUCCUUCGGCGGCGGCGGCGGCUCCGACACCACGGGGCAGCUGGCGGAGGCGCUCCUCUACUACGCGACCACCUCGGCGGUGCCGCAACAGUCGCGGGCGGAGAUACGUCUGACCCUCGACGUGCUCCGCCGGCGCGGGCCCUGCAACUUCCUGGUCUUCGGCCUGGGACGGGACUCCCGGAUGUGGGCGGCCAUGAACGCGGGCGGCACCACGUUGUUCCUGGAGGAGGAUCCCGAGUGGUACGAGUUGGUGCUCAAGACCUCCCCUAUGCUGCGGGCGCACCACGUCAAGUACCGGACGCGGCUGGACGAGGCGGACAAGCUGCUGCGGGGGUAUCGGAAGGAGGCGGCGUGCCGGCCGG